This 253-nucleotide ribosomal RNA is filed under the name uncultured bacterium. Its description in RNAcentral is "partial 16S ribosomal RNA". It matches the Rfam family "Bacterial small subunit ribosomal RNA", at positions 524 to 776 of the family's 1533-position model. The record is from RNAcentral.
UACGGAGGGGGCCAGCGUUGUUCGGAAUUAUUGGGCGUAAAGGGCGCGUAGGCGGUCGAGUAAGUCUGACGUGAAAUCCCUUGGCUCAACCAAGGAACUGCGUCUUAAACUGCUCGGCUUGAGUCCGGGAGAGGGUAGUGGAAUUCCCAGUGUAGCGGUGAAAUGCGUAGAUAUCUGGAGGAACACCGGUGGCGAAGGCGGCAUCCUGGACCAUUACUGACACUGAAAAGCGAAAGCCAGGGGAGCAAACGGG